Molecule: long non-coding RNA, 4340 nt
Organism: Equus caballus (horse)
Lineage: Eukaryota; Metazoa; Chordata; Mammalia; Perissodactyla; Equidae
Source: Ensembl
CAGUUGCAUUUAUCAUGGUCUAUGAGGAUGGCAAAGGGUCUGUGGCCGCUGACCCGAGGGGAUAGGGUAUUCUUCAAGCCUUGAAGACCAGUCUCCACAUCCCCCAAGCAGACCGCUCCACCCCCAUAGCUGAGACAAGGUGUCCCUUCACACCGCUGGAGGCAUCGCCUUUGGCCUGCGCCAGCAGCCACCCAGCAACGCCUAGGGGUCCGCCUGAGCGAAGCAAGAACUUGGACACUUUAGCAAACUCUCCCCCUUUUUCUUCUUCCUCCACCGUUUUCUGGCUCAGAAACUGCACUAGGUGGCCCCCCAGGUCACUCCUUGGGUAGCAGACAGCUACCCGACAGAAGAUACAUUACUGGGCUGCUCCUGGAGAAGACCAAAACCCUGUCAAGAAGUGGAAGAAUAUACUGACACUAGAAGAAAAAAGGCUUUCCGAGACAGACAAUAUUAUGUAUAAAGCUCUACAGUUUCCUUCAUCCUGCACACAGCGGUGGCCCUGUGUGUCGUUUCACUCCUCAGCUUCACACUUGGCAUGCUUCGGGAAAGCCUCGUGCCCCAAGCUCUCCACGCAGCAGCUCUCACAAAGACUCAGUUUGCCCCAACAAUUCCCUCAGCCCCAGACUCCAAGCUGAAUGUUCCCCAACUACCCAUCUAGUGGAGGAACCAGUCCACUUUGGCCAAAUGUCCCCAAACCACACACCUUCUAAAUAUCUAGAGGUUUCCUGGGCUAGACCUUAAAUCAGAAAAUGCUCGAAACUGAUGCAUCAUUCCAUCAUCACCACCAGCACUUCUUCCUCCAUCACACACCUCUCCUCCUCUCCUGCCCCAGCCUCGAGACACAUGCUGCUCUUCCUCACUGGGAUCUCAACCACACGCAUACGCAGCAUGUUCAAGGGGCUUUCAACCAGCUGCUUCUCAGACAUAAGUCAGCCAUAUUGUUGUCUGCUUGUAAGACAGGAAUAGAUAAUGGAAGGGGCAGGGGUGCAAAAUAAGAGCUUGACACGUUUGAGAGAAGAAUCAGCAUGCUGGGGAGGAAUGUACUAGGGUAUCUAGUUCCUGGUAAGUAGCCCCCUGGAAACAGCCAGGAGGAAAGGCAAGGCCUGGCCUCCAUUCAGUCACUCACUCCUUGUUCCAGUGCUACCUCCCUCCUUGGGAUGAGGCUCGUGGCUUUGGCUGGGCAGAGCUGGCCCCACACUUUCCUCAGACAGCAAGCUGGAACUGAGCAGCAGCAAAGCUCUGGGUCCCAGACUCUCUGCAAGACAGAAAAGCCUGCUCAGCCCUAGGUUUGGAUACUGAGUGGCCACCUCCUGACCUGCUCUCUCCUCUCAGCACUGAACACCAUCCUGUCCAUCCCUGAGCACAGAGGGAAAAUGUCCACGUCAGGGUCUUCAGCCAACACCAAAUCCCCAGGGGAAAGGCUGCAGCCAACGUAGGCGCAGCACCAGCGGCUGCCCGUUUACAUUACCAGAGCCGCUAAAGGCACAUGUGCUCAGAUGGACAGCCUGGGGUCAGAACCCAGCUCCGCACGCUCACCGUUUGACCGUGGACAAGAUGUUGUGGCCCGCAUCUUUAAAAUGUGGGUAAUAACACCCACUUCAUAGACUCACUGUGAGGGUUAAAUGAAUUAAUACCCAAAAGGUACCUUGAACAGUUUCUGGCAUAUUUAUAGGCAUGGUAUUAGCUUUAUAAUGUUUUAAUUUUCAAUUUAAUUAUUAUUACCACUAGAGCCCCUGGAACAAACAGCCUCUGAAUUUCUGAAGUCAAAUCCUAACUUCUGUCCUACUCAUGUGGUACUUUAGGAACCACAACUGACCUAACUUCGUCUCACUCUCUGCCCUGCCACCCUCUCCCAGCAGUUCACACAGCUCUGGGCACACAGCUGGUGCCCGGCCAGCUGAAUUGAACCAAUGAGAUUCCAGGUCCGUCCGUCUUCUGCCCUACCCCAACCCUGUAACUACUUCUGGGUGAGUAUCACUUUAUCUCUGUCCCCUGGAAAGUGGGGCAUGAAGGCUUGUACGGUUCCGCCACGUCAGGAAGCCCAUAAAAAUACAAAGUACAGCCAGAAAGAAAAUGAAACUUUGGGAAACAAGAUGGUGAUCAUGAACAUAGCCAUGGGGACAAAUCCAAAGAGUCCUUUCUUCACUUGGAGAAGUCACACGGCUGUCUCCUUGCAGGGAAGACAUAUUUGGAACCAAAACUGAAGCCCCAGGAACCAGCGCACAGCAUCACGGAACCCCUCUGAGACAUAUCGCCUGACGAAUCAUCCCAGGGGCUGGGGCUGUGCAGGUGUCACCCCCAGAACUGCUUCCCCUACCAGACACACAGGAUGGAGAAUUCCAGAAGGAACUGCGAGUGCUCACACGUCCACACCCUGCAAUAGUAACCGAAACAGAACCUGCCACCGUCAAGGCCCCACAUUUGUACAGACAGGCACCUGAGUGUUUACACAAGGCCUGCAAGCUCUCCUUGCAUGAUGUAAGAUGCCAGCAACUGCCACAGUUUCCAUUGCAUAGGAAUUCCUAGAGCGAGACCACAGGGGCCCACACCUCUCUUUUCCACACAGGGGAUGCCACAGGGAGGGUGAGCCUUUGGGUUGAGUGAGACUCUCGUAAAGCAGCCGGAAGGCAACUGCCCUUAACAAGGGGCCUCUCUCCUCUUCCCACGUGCCUUUAUAAGGGCUUCUGCCACUAAUGAGCAUUCGAGCAGAAGCAAACAUGUAGAGAGAGAGAAAGGAGCUGCACUGAACUUCCCAGAACCACAGACCAGCUUCGAGAUGAGUGAGAGCCUAGCAAUGCCAGGAUCAUGAAAUCAUGGGCUCAGGUCCUGAAAGGCUUGACCUUAACCCUGCUGAACCCUCAGACCACAUGACAGCUCCUAAGAAGUGCCAGUUAAAUAUGUUAAACUGAGAAAUUGCAACUAGAACCCAAGGCUUUGCCAUUUUAUUCAAAAAUGUUUACUUCAUGUUUCCCCAUUAAAUAUAAGCAACUUCCCCCUUGUAUAUAUUUGCACCACAUUCACACAAUGUGUUCCCCGUCAACAUUUGAAUUAUGGGCACAGGCCCUGAAAUGUUAGUUUUGUGCUAAGAUAAAUAUUGGAAUAAUAUUCACUCUGCUUUUUUGAAGUAGUCAACAUCACAAUUUGUGAUUGAAGAGCGAAGGCACCAUUUGCUUUCUGAAGUAACAAAAGGAUAACAAGCAAUCCUCUUGGGGAAAGGAAUCAAAAUGGCCUCCUGGAACCCUCUCACUGCCUCUGUCAUUAUUGUAUCUGCUGACACCGGACCAGCACAGCUUCUCUGAUGGCACUCGGCAAAUACCCUGAGCCCCUGAGCCUGGCCCUGGGAGGAUGAUGAUGCUCACAGUGUGCCCCGCACCUGCCACCACCAGCCCCAACGAGGAACAGGUAAAGGCCCAGCACCAUUGUCAAACCCAGCCUGGGUUUCCUGAUGACUUUACAUGGAGCUCUAGAAAAAGAAGAGAGACAGGGAGGGAGGUAAGGUAGGGCUUACACACAGCCCCUGAGGAUAAAUCCCCUCUCCGAUUCCUGUGUGGGCCACGUUGGCUGGAAAAGUAUCGGUCCUCUGUUCACAUCCCCCUGCAACUCUCACAGGUUCCCCUGAAGGCCUGCCUCUGUGGGCUGACAAAAGCAAGAACCACUGAGGGGACAGCUCAGAAACACAGCACACCCUGCUCUGCCACACAAGAGCCACGCAAGGGCCAUAUCUGGGGAAAGCCACAGGGCUCAAAUUCAGGCCACCCACAGUCUGAAGCCCACACCCAGUUCUGGCAUUUCUGAUCAUUCUGGUCAUUUUGAGCUCAAAAUGAUGCCUGGGGUGAGUCAGGAAGCGUUUCCCUCUGCUGGUGAGGGCACUCUGGGGGGUGAUGAUUCAAGCAACCCAGCAGCAGUUUGCUGAGCUCUCUCCCCUGCCAUACUUCUCUCACGGUAUCAGAAGCCAAUUCUGUGAGGGAAUCAGAGCAGGUGGUAGGAUCCCCAUUUUACAGAUGUGGAAACUGAGGCUGAGAGAGGCUUACCCAAAAUCCAGUAGCUAGUGACAGAGAUCUCCUCAUGGCCCCCUCCAGAGUCUGUGUAUAUUUGCUCAAGGGCUCUGUGUCUAUGAAAUGCAUCACUGGAACCGUCCCUCCAUGCUCUGGGAAGCAUGAAAAACUGGGUCCAGAGUCUGUUAUGACCAGCAUAUCUUAUAGCCUCUCAGGACCUCAAUUCCCUCAACUGUCAAAUAGUGGGCUGUCCUAACUAUCAUUAUGAUUGUUGCUGCCACCAAAAGUAUUAGUACUUCACAGUCCCUUCCAGCUUUCUCUCUUCCCCUGAUCAACCUUUAAAAG